This 492-nucleotide ribosomal RNA is filed under the name uncultured bacterium. Its description in RNAcentral is "partial 16S ribosomal RNA". It matches the Rfam family "Bacterial small subunit ribosomal RNA", at positions 29 to 507 of the family's 1533-position model. The record is from RNAcentral.
AGUGAACGCUGGCGGUAGGCCUAACACAUGCAAGUCGAACGGCAGCACAGUAAGCGCUUGCUCUUACGGGUGGCGAGUGGCGGGCGGGUGAGGAAUACAUCGGAAUCUACUUUGUCGUGGGGGAUAACGUAGGGAAACUUACGCUAAUACCGCAUACGACCUACGGGUGAAAGCAAGGGAUCUUCGGACCUUGCGCGAUUGAAUGAGCCGAUGUCGGAUUAGCUAGUUGGCGGGGUAAAGGCCCACCAAGGCGACGAUCCGUAGCUGGUCUGAGAGGAUGAUCAGCCACACUGGAACUGAGACACGGUCCAGACUCCUACGGGAGGCAGCAGUGGGGAAUAUUGGACAAUGGGCGCAAGCCUGAUCCAGCCAUACCGCGUGAGUGAAGAAGGCCUUCGGAUCGUAAAGCCCUUUUGUUGGGAAAGAACAGCAGUAGGUUAAUACCCCGCUGUUCUGACGGUACCCAAACAAUAAGCACCGGCUAACUUCGUG